RNAcentral lists this ribosomal RNA (253 nucleotides) under uncultured bacterium. RNAcentral describes it as "partial 16S ribosomal RNA". It matches the Rfam family "Bacterial small subunit ribosomal RNA", at positions 524 to 776 of the family's 1533-position model. The record is from RNAcentral.
UACGGGGGGGGCAAGCGUUGUUCGGAUUUAUUGGGCGUAAAGGGUCCGCAGGCGGUUUGAUAAGUCAGGUGUGAAAUCCCACAGCUUAACUGUGGACACGCAUUUGAUACUGUUAGACUAGAGUAUGAGAGGGGUGAGAGGAAUUUCCAGUGUAGGGGUGAAAUCCGUAGAUAUUGGAAAGAACACCGGCCGCGAAGGCGUUUCACUGGCUCAUUACUGACGCUCAGGGACGAAAGCCAGGGGAGCAAACGGG